UGGGGAAUAUUGGACAAUGGGCGAAAGCCUGAUCCAGCCAUGCCGCGUGUGUGAAGAAGGUCUUCGGAUUGUAAAGCACUUUAAGUUGGGAGGAAGGGCAGUAAGCGAAUACCUUGCUGUUUUGACGUUACCGACGGAAUAAGCACCGGCUAACUCUGUGCCAGCAGCCGCGGUAAUACAGAGGGUGCAAGCGUUAAUCGGAAUUACUGGGCGUAAAGCGCGCGUAGGUGGUUCGUUAAGUUGAAUGUGAAAGCCCCGGGCUCAACCUGGGAACUGCAUCCAAAACUGGCGAGCUAGAGUAGGGCAGAGGGUGGUGGAAUUUCCUGUGUAGCGGUGAAAUGCGUAGAUAUAGGAAGGAACACCAGUGGCGAAGGCGACCACCUGGGCUCAUACUGACACUGAGGUGCGAAAGCGUGGGGAGCAAACAGG
RNAcentral lists this ribosomal RNA (429 nucleotides) under Pseudomonadota bacterium. RNAcentral's name for it is "Proteobacteria bacterium partial 16S ribosomal RNA". It matches the Rfam family "Bacterial small subunit ribosomal RNA", at positions 355 to 776 of the family's 1533-position model. Lineage: Bacteria; Pseudomonadati; Pseudomonadota. The record is from RNAcentral.